RNAcentral lists this ribosomal RNA (450 nucleotides) under uncultured bacterium. RNAcentral's name for it is "partial 16S ribosomal RNA". It matches the Rfam family "Bacterial small subunit ribosomal RNA", at positions 354 to 796 of the family's 1533-position model. The record is from RNAcentral.
GUCGAGAAUAAUUCACAAUGGGGGAAACCCUGAUGGUGCAACGCCGCGUGGAGGAUGAAGGUCUUCGGAUUGUAAACUCCUGUCAUCUGGGAGUAAGACCUGACGGUGAAUAGCCGGCAGGGUUGAUAGUACCAGAAGAGGAAGGGACGGCUAACUUCGUGCCAGCAGCCGCGGUAAUACGAAGGUCCCAAGCGUUGUUCGGAAUCACUGGGCGUAAAGGGAGCGUAGGCGGCGUGGUAAGUCAGAUGUGAAAUCCCGGGGCUCAACCCCGGAAGUGCAUCCGAUACUGCCAUGCUUGAGGGUUGGAGAGGUAGCUGGAAUUCUCGGUGUAGCAGUGAAAUGCGUGGAUAUCGAGAGGAACACUCGUGGCGAAGGCGAGCUACUGGACAACAUCUGACGCUGAGGCUCGAAGGCUAGGGGAGCAAAAGGGAUUAGAUACCCUAGUAGUCC